AGAGUUUGAUCAUGGCUCAGAAUGAACGCUGGCGGCGUGCCUAACACAUGCAAGUCGAACGAGAGCGAAGGAGCUUGCUCCUUCAAUCUAGUGGCAGACGGGUGAGUAACGCGUGGGUAAUCUACCUUCGAGUGGGGCAUACCAGGCCGAAAGGCCUGUUAAUUCCGCAUGAAAUGGAUGUCAUCUUGGUGGCGACCAUGAAAGCCCGGGAUCUUCGGACCGGGUGCUUGAAGAGGAGCUCGCGUUAGAUUAGCUAGUUGGUGAGGUAAUGGCUCACCAAGGCUGCGAUCUAUAGCCGGCCUGAGAGGGUGAUCGGCCACACUGGAACUGAGACACGGUCCAGACUCCUACGGGAGGCAGCAGUGGGGAAUUUUGCGCAAUGGGGGAAUCCCUGACGCAGCAACGCCGCGUGAGUGAAGAAGCAUCUUGGUGUGUAAAGCUCUGUCGAUAGGGACUAA
RNAcentral lists this ribosomal RNA (458 nucleotides) under uncultured bacterium. RNAcentral's name for it is "bacterial SSU rRNA". It matches the Rfam family "Bacterial small subunit ribosomal RNA", at positions 8 to 449 of the family's 1533-position model. The record is from RNAcentral.